AAGCCAUCUUCUUUUAUAUACAAAAUUCUAUUCAUGAAUGCAAGGUCAUUUUUAAAAGGGAAGAAAAUAUAUUCAAAAAAUGAUGAAAUACCAAAUCAUAUUAUAUCAACUCUGUGAACUUUUACAACAAGAACAAGCCUUCGAAGCUACCAAAGCAGGUAUGAAAGAACUUAAACACAUCUUCCUCUCCCAGAAAACUGCACUGUUAAACUGUCAUUUUAACGUGAACUAGGAUGUUUAAGAAAGAACAUUGUCCGAAGGCUAAUUGUCCAAUUCGAACCAACUUUUGUCGUUAACCAGUAAACAUCAUUCUAAAACACUGCUUAAAGGAUAUUUCUCACACCUUUAAACCUAAAUUCAAUGUAGUCUCAUUGCUUCUGUGUAUUAAAAGUUAUAAUACUUCAGCGUGCAAUAAAAAUUCUUUAUCUUAAUGCUA
Mastomys coucha (southern multimammate mouse) is the source of this 436-nucleotide long non-coding RNA. RefSeq lists it as uncharacterized. The transcript is spliced from 3 exons. The record is from RefSeq and is a predicted model, not a curated record. Lineage: Eukaryota; Metazoa; Chordata; Mammalia; Rodentia; Muridae.